UGCCGAGCAACUCCUAUCCCUACCUCCUCGCGGCACUGGCCGGGGUACGAGUAACCUUAGGGAAUAUCGGGUUACCAACCCCGGUGGCAACUCUGGUCUGGGAAGG
Molecule: ribozyme, 106 nt
Filed under: Aedes aegypti (yellow fever mosquito)
Lineage: Eukaryota; Metazoa; Arthropoda; Insecta; Diptera; Culicidae
Description: drz-agam-1 ribozyme
Rfam family: drz-agam-1 ribozyme
Source: Rfam by way of RNAcentral